CUCAGGAAAAGAAAUCAAUAGAGAUUGCGUCAGUAGCGGCGAGCGAAAGCGCAAGAGGGCAAACCCAGUGCUUGCACUGGGGGUUGUAGGACUGCAAUGUGCAAGAGGUAAGUUUAGCAGAACAUUCUGGAAAGUAUAACCAUAGAGGGUGAUAGUCCCGUAUGCGAAAAACAAACCUUAGCUAGCAGUAUCCUGAGUAGGGCGGGACACGAGGAAUCCUGUCUGAAUCCGGGUCGACCACGAUCCAACCCUAAAUACUAAUACCAGAUCGAUAGUGCACAAGUACCGUGAGGGAAAGGUGAAAAGAACUGAGGUGAUCAGAGUGAAAUAGAACCUGAAACCAUUUGCUUACAAUCAUUCAGAGCCCUAUGUAGCAAUACAGGGUGAUGGACUGCCUUUUGCAUAAUGAGCCUGCGAGUUGUGGUGUCUGGCAAGGUUAAGCAAACGCGAAGCCGUAGCGAAAGCGAGUCUGAAUAGGGCGCUUAGUCAGAUGCUGCAGACCCGAAACGAAGUGAUCUAUCCAUGAGCAAGUUGAAGCUAGUGUAAGAACUAGUGGAGGACUGAACCCAUAGGCGUUGAAAAGCCCCGGGAUGACUUGUGGAUAGGGGUGAAAGGCCAAUCAAACUUCGUGAUAGCUGGUUCUCUCCGAAAUAUAUUUAGGUAUAGCGUUGUGUCGUAAUAUAAGGGGGUAGAGCACUGAAUGGGCUAGGGCAUACACCAAUGUACCAAACCCUAUCAAACUCCGAAUACCUUAUAUGUAAUCACAGCAGUCAGGCGGCGAGUGAUAAAAUCCGUCGUCAAGAGGGAAACAACCCAGACUACCAGCUAAGGUCCCUAAAUCUUACUUAAGUGGAAAACGAUGUGAAGUUACUUAAACAACCAGGAGGUUGGCUUAGAAGCAGCCAUCCUUUAAAGAAAGCGUAAUAGCUCACUGGUCUAGUGAUUUUGCGCGGAAAAUAUAACGGGGCUAAAGUAAGUACCGAAGCUGUAGACUUGCACACAACUUAGAUUAUUUAAGUUUAGAAUAUGAGAAACUAAGUUAUAUGUUUAGUUAUAUUUUUACUGAUUUUUAUAGAGUAAAGAUAGAAAUAAAACUUAGUAAAAUCAGUAAAAAUAUUCUUAGACUAAAGUUAAGUAGUUUAAGUUGUGUGCAAGUGGUAGGAGAGCGUUCUAUUUGCGUCGAAGGUAUACCGGUAAGGAGUGCUGGAGCGAAUAGAAGUGAGCAUGCAGGCAUGAGUAGCGAUAAUUAAUGUGAGAAUCAUUAACGCCGUAAACCCAAGGUUUCCUACGCGAUGCUCGUCAUCGUAGGGUUAGUCGGGUCCUAAGUCGAGUCCGAAAGGGGUAGACGAUGGCAAAUUGGUUAAUAUUCCAAUACCAACAUUAGUGUGCGAUGGAAGGACGCUUAGGGCUAAGGGGGCUAGCGGAUGGAAGUGCUAGUCUAAGGUCGUAGGAGGUUAUACAGGCAAAUCCGUAUAACAAUACUCCGAGAACUGAAAGGCUUUUUGAAGUCUUCGGAUGGAUAGAAGAACCCCUGAUGCCGUCGAGCCAAGAAAAGUUUCUAAGUUUAGCUAAUGUUGCCCGUACCGUAAACCGACACAGGUGGGUGGGAUGAGUAUUCUAAGGCGCGUGGAAGAACUCUCUUUAAGGAACUCUGCAAAAUAGCACCGUAUCUUCGGUAUAAGGUGUGGUUAGCUUUGUAUUAGGAUUUACUCCGAAAGCAAGGAAACUUACAACAAAGAGUCCCUCCCGACUGUUUACCAAAAACACAGCACUCUGCUAACUCGUAAGAGGAUGUAUAGGGUGUGACGCCUGCCCGGUGCUCGAAGGUUAAUUGAUGGGGUUAGCAUUAGCGAAGCUCUUGAUCGAAGCCCGAGUAAACGGCGGCCGUAACUAUAACGGUCCUAAGGUAGCGAAAUUCCUUGUCGGUUAAAUACCGACCUGCAUGAAUGGCGUAACGAGAUGGGAGCUGUCUCAAAGAGGGAUCCAGUGAAAUUGUAGUGGAGGUGAAAAUUCCUCCUACCCGCGGCAAGACGGAAAGACCCCGUGGACCUUUACUACAGCUUGACACUGCUACUUGGAUAAGAAUGUGCAGGAUAGGUGGGAGGCUUUGAGUAUAUGACGCCAGUUGUAUAUGAGCCAUUGUUGAGAUACCACUCUUUCUUAUUUGGGUAGCUAACCAGCUUGAGUUAUCCUCAAGUGGGACAAUGUCUGGUGGGUAGUUUGACUGGGGCGGUCGCCUCCCAAAUAAUAACGGAGGCUUACAAAGGUUGGCUCAGAACGGUUGGAAAUCGUUCGUAGAGUAUAAAGGUAUAAGCCAGCUUAACUGCAAGACAUACAAGUCAAGCAGAGACGAAAGUCGGUCUUAGUGAUCCGGUGGUUCUGUGUGGAAGGGCCAUCGCUCAAAGGAUAAAAGGUACCCCGGGGAUAACAGGCUGAUCUCCCCCAAGAGCUCACAUCGACGGGGAGGUUUGGCACCUCGAUGUCGGCUCAUCGCAUCCUGGGGCUGGAGCAGGUCCCAAGGGUAUGGCUGUUCGCCAUUUAAAGCGGUACGCGAGCUGGGUUCAGAACGUCGUGAGACAGUUCGGUCCCUAUCUGCCGUGGGCGUAAGAAGAUUGAAGAGAUUUGACCCUAGUACGAGAGGACCGGGUUGAACAAACCACUGGUGUAGCUGUUGUUCUGCCAAGAGCAUCGCAGCGUAGCUAAGUUUGGAAAGGAUAAACGCUGAAAGCAUCUAAGCGUGAAGCCAACUCUAAGAUGAAUCUUCUCUAAGCUCUCUAGAAGACUACUAGUUUGAUAGGCUGGGUGUGUAAUGGAUGAAAGUCCUUUAGCUGACCAGUACUAAUAGAGCGUUUGGCUUAUCUUUAAUAAAGCAU
Molecule: ribosomal RNA, 2873 nt
Filed under: Campylobacter jejuni
Lineage: Bacteria; Pseudomonadati; Campylobacterota; Epsilonproteobacteria; Campylobacterales; Campylobacteraceae
Description: bacterial LSU rRNA
Rfam family: Bacterial large subunit ribosomal RNA
Source: RNAcentral